UGGGGGAUAUUGCACAAUGGGCGAAAGCCUGAUGCAGCGACGCCGCGUGGGGGAUGAAGGCUUUCGGGUUGUAAACCUCUUUCGCUAUCGAACAAGGCUCGCUUAGGGUGGGUUGAGGGCAGGUGGAGAAGAAGCGCCGGCUAUCUACGUGCCAGCAGCCGCGGUAAUACGUAGUGCGCGAGCGUUGUCCGGAAUUAUUGGGCGUAUAGGGCUUGUAGGCGGCUUGUUGCGCCUGCUGUGAAAACGCGGGGCUUAACUUCGCGCGUGCAGUGGGUACGGGCAGGCUUGAGUGUGGUAGGGGUGACUGGAAUUCCAGGUGUAGCGGAGGAAUGCGCAGAUAUCUGGAGGAACACCGAUGGCGAAGGCAGGUCACUGGGCCAUUACUGACGCUGAGGAGCGAAAGCAUGGGUAGCGAACAGG
This 420-nucleotide ribosomal RNA is filed under the name bacterium. RNAcentral describes it as "partial 16S ribosomal RNA". It matches the Rfam family "Bacterial small subunit ribosomal RNA", at positions 355 to 776 of the family's 1533-position model. The record is from RNAcentral.